RNAcentral lists this unclassified non-coding RNA (345 nucleotides) under soil metagenome. Its description in RNAcentral is "partial contains 5.8S ribosomal RNA, internal transcribed spacer 2, and large subunit ribosomal RNA". The stretch from base 1 to 121 matches the Rfam family "5.8S ribosomal RNA", at positions 35 to 154 of the family's 154-position model. The record is from RNAcentral.
GAUGAAGAACGUAGCGAAAUGCGAUAAGUAAUGCGAAUUGCAGAAUUUCCGUGAGUCAUCGAAUCUUUGAACGCACAUUGCGCCCACUGGUAUUCCGGUGGGCAUGCCUGUUCGAGCGUCAUUAUCCUCCCUCAAACCCCGGGUUUGGUGUUGGUCCCAAGUUGUGUGAACAACUGGUCUCAAAGACAAUGACGGCGUCCGUGGGACCCUCGGUGCAACGAGCUUUUAGGAGCACGCAUCGAGUUGCAAGGACCUUCCGGGCCGGUCUCCUUUACCAUUUUACAAGGUUGACCUCGGAUCAGGUAGGAAUACCCGCUGAACUUAAGCAUAUCAAUAAGCGGAGGA